RNAcentral lists this transfer RNA (76 nucleotides) under Gammaproteobacteria bacterium. RNAcentral's name for it is "tRNA-Phe". It matches the Rfam family "tRNA". From Rfam's summary of the family: Transfer RNA (tRNA) molecules are approximately 80 nucleotides in length. Their secondary structure includes four short double-helical elements and three loops (D, anti-codon, and T loops). Lineage: Bacteria; Pseudomonadati; Pseudomonadota; Gammaproteobacteria. The record is from RNAcentral. RNAcentral also lists the same sequence under 4 other names.
GGCCAGGUAGCUCAGUCGGUAGAGCAGGGGAUUGAAAAUCCCCGUGUCGGGGGUUCGAUUCCCUCCCUGGCCACCA